This 238-nucleotide long non-coding RNA is filed under the name Elaeis guineensis (African oil palm). Its description in RNAcentral is "long non-coding RNA (EGUI_LNC047355)". The record is from RNAcentral. Lineage: Eukaryota; Viridiplantae; Streptophyta; Magnoliopsida; Arecales; Arecaceae.
CCCCCCGUUGACUUAGACACCAAUGGAUUGGUCAGGUCAGCUAACAAAACUAAUUAAAUAAUCAUAUCUUAUUAACUUGCCUUAGAUGCCAAUAGGUCGAUUGAUCAGAGUUGGUUGGCUCAAGCGAAUUGGACUCAAACCAGCAAGCCAAAUUAGGUACUUAGGUUAAUCGAUUCUACAUAUGAGACUCAAUCGAUUUGAUCAACAAUAAUUGUAUGAUCAUUAACUUAAUUGAUCU